RNAcentral lists this ribosomal RNA (456 nucleotides) under uncultured bacterium. Its description in RNAcentral is "partial 16S ribosomal RNA". It matches the Rfam family "Bacterial small subunit ribosomal RNA", at positions 355 to 797 of the family's 1533-position model. The record is from RNAcentral.
UGGGGAAUAUUGCACAAUGGGCGCAAGCCUGAUGCAGCCAUGCCGCGUGUGUGAAGAAGGCCUUCGGGUUGUAAAGCACUUUCAGCGAGGAGGAAGGUGGUGAGCUUAAUACGCUCAUCAAUUGACGUUACUCGCAGAAGAAGCACCGGCUAACUCCGUGCCAGCAGCCGCGGUAAUACGGAGGGUGCAAGCGUUAAUCGGAAUUACUGGGCGUAAAGCGCACGCAGGCGGUUUGUUAAGUCAGAUGUGAAAUCCCCGGGCUCAACCUGGGAACUGCAUUUGAAACUGGCAAGCUAGAGUCUCGUAGAGGGGGGUAGAAAUUUCCAGGUGUAGCGGUGAAAUGCGUAGAGAUCUGGAGGAAUACCGGUGGCGAAGGCGGCCCCCCUGGACGAAGACUGACGCUCAGGUGCGAAAAGCGUGGGGCAGCAAAACAGGAUUAGAUACCCUGGUAGUCCA